AUACGGAGGGUGCAAGCGUUGUUCGGAAUUACAGGGCGUAAAGCGCGUGUAGGCGGAUAGAAAGGUCAGGUGUGAAAGCCCUUGUCUCAAACAAGGAAGUGCAUCUGAAACCAUCUAUCUUGAGUACGAUAGGGGAGAGCAGAAUUCCCAGUGUAGGGGUGAAAUCCGUAGAUAUUGGGAGGAAUACCAGUUGCGAAGGCGGCUCUCUGGACGAUGACUGACGCUGAGACGCGAAAGCGUGGGGAGCAAACAGGAUUAGAAACCCGAGUAGUCC
Molecule: ribosomal RNA, 274 nt
Filed under: uncultured bacterium
Lineage: Bacteria
Description: partial 16S ribosomal RNA
Rfam family: Bacterial small subunit ribosomal RNA
Source: RNAcentral